GAUGCUCUAGGGUGUUCGUAAGACACCUUAUAUACUCUCUCUUCGAAAGAAAUAAGGGAGCUUAAAAUCCGGUUUCGGCCGUGGCUGAAACGUGAGAGCACCCACCUUACGGAUGCUGGGGGUACAGUAUCCAUGAGGUUGAGCGGCAUUCUGGAGCGAUA
This 161-nucleotide non-coding RNA is filed under the name Candidatus Peregrinibacteria bacterium. RNAcentral describes it as "6S RNA". It matches the Rfam family "6S / SsrS RNA". Rfam says of the family: E. coli 6S RNA was the first non coding RNA to be sequenced, but its function was unknown until recently. It consists of 184 nucleotides that fold into an extended hairpin structure with a large single-stranded internal bulge. The 6S RNA specifically associates with RNA polymerase holoenzyme containing the sigma70 specificity factor. The record is from RNAcentral. Lineage: Bacteria; Candidatus Peregrinibacteriota.